RNAcentral lists this long non-coding RNA (1715 nucleotides) under Lathyrus oleraceus (garden pea). RNAcentral's name for it is "Pisum sativum (pea) long non-coding RNA (PSAT_LNC038060)". The record is from RNAcentral. Lineage: Eukaryota; Viridiplantae; Streptophyta; Magnoliopsida; Fabales; Fabaceae.
AUAAUAUUCCAUUCAAUAAUUCAAUCCAAAAUUACAAAGAAAUCACAAGUUACAAACCAAUGUCCUGUUACAAAGUUACAUGAAGCAAGAUUAUAUAACACUUUUUUUUUUCAUCCUUCAUGCCAUGCCUAACCUUCACAUUGCCAAAAGCUUAAGUGUUCAAUCCUUACCUGCACAAACAAGCCACCAUUAGUAAAACUAUCCACAUUUAAAUCCAAGCAUACAAACAUUCCAUAUAUAAUUCAUUGCACUUCCAAGUUGAUCCAACACUUACCAAUCUAACAUGGCAUAACACUAACAUCUAUCCAUUUUGUUAAUCCCAAUUUAAGUAACUAAUAACAAUUGCCAAGAGUUUCCAUGUUGAUUUUAGAAAUAAUUAUCACUUAAUUCUGAAUUAACUCCACAACCUUUUAACAUAACAUUCAAUUCAGCUUAUACUGCAGCUAAUAGUGGUUUUGCACAACAGAAUUCCAACACAUUUCAAACUAAUGCAAAAAAUAACAAUCAAACAUUCGGGCACAGUGUAUUGAACUAAUGACAACAAGAAUCAGUUAACUCCCUCCACCUGUCAUGUUUCCAGAAUAAAACAGACCUAUAAUCCGACUUCUAACAAUUUCUAUAUUUAACUCUUUUACUAACAGUAAGUGUUGCUAACACACAAUUAAUUUUAGUAACAAUUGAGUAUUUAGCAUAAAGGACUGAUUACAGAACAACUACCUUGCUAAUUUAUUCUUGUUGGAGUACGAUCGCCGUCGUAUUUGUUGUAACAGCUCAAGCUCCAAUUUACCUGUGAUUGAGGAAAAUACCAUCAGUAUAAGUGUAAGUUCGACAUGCCGCCAAAUCACUAACUCACUGCAGGAUAAAAUAACCCACUUAACAACCCUGCACAUUCGUUAAUGGAUAAAGUCAAGUACCACUGUGAACGGAAGUAAUGCAUUACAGAGAAUCGAAACUCACUAACUAACUGUGUUCACCCACCUCUUAACUAUUACUAAUCAGAAAUAACCAAGAUUCUAACAAAACCGUAAUUCUAACAGAUUCACUGCUAACGGAAACUUCAGAAAUUCAUAACAAAGCGCAAUAUAAUUACUAACUAGCCUUUUCAACAGCCUGUCAUACAACUUCAAUAGAAAUUAAAAUAACAGAACAGCAUCUUUCAGAAGUUAAUAAAUAUAACAUGAUUAACAAGUUUCACAAAACUGAGAUCCUCUGAAUACACCAAGGCAGGCAAGAUUUCAAUCAAAUUCACUUUCAUUCAAUGAGCUUCGUAACUAACUAAAUAAUUGAAUACAAUUAACACUAACCAACUUUUACCUCAACCUGCAAAAACAUUAGGUGCCCUAACAGAAACUGAAUUAGCAUAUAACUAACCCUAACAGAAACUGAAUUAGCAUAUAACUAACCCUAACAGGUAACUGACCUGCCCGAUUCGGUUAUAAACUAUCCUAUAUAACAGAGCCACCUUGUUCAGUUUCAGAGUUUCUACACAUACCUCAAUCUGCAAAGCGUUGGAGUCCUCACUCUCCAUCGAUCCUUCAUUCUCCAUUUUCAAAUCUACAACUUCUUCUCAACUCUUCAAUUUGCAGUCUUCAAUCUUCAUCUUCUUCACCAAUCUUUUCCUUCUUCUCCACCACCUUCAUUCAAACUCACAUAUGGAAUCAUCUUCUUUCUGUUUCACACUUUGCUCACCUUCAUCCUGUCAUCCUAAUUCGUGC